CCUACGGGAGGCAGCAGUGGGGAAUAUUGCACAAUGGGCGAAAGCCUGAUGCAGCAACGCCGCGUGAGCGAUGAAGGCCUUCGGGUCGUAAAGCUCUGUCCUCAAGGAAGAUAAUGACGGUACUUGAGGAGGAAGCCCCGGCUAACUACGUGCCAGCAGCCGCGGUAAUAGGUGGGGGGCUAGCGUUAUCCGGAAUUACUGGGCGUAAGGGGGGCGUAGGUGGUUUCUUAAGUCAGAGGUGAAAGGCUAGGGUUCAACCGUAGUAAGCCUUUGAAACUGGGAAACUUGAGUGCAGGAGAGGAGAGUGGAAUUCCUAGUGUAGCGGUGAAAUGCGUAGAUAUUAGGAGGAACACCAGUUGCGAAGGCGGCUCUCUGGACUGUAACUGACACUGAGGCACGAAAGCGUGGGGAGCAAACAGGAUUAGAUACCCCUGUAGUC
RNAcentral lists this ribosomal RNA (439 nucleotides) under uncultured bacterium. Its description in RNAcentral is "partial 16S ribosomal RNA". It matches the Rfam family "Bacterial small subunit ribosomal RNA", at positions 338 to 795 of the family's 1533-position model. The record is from RNAcentral.